GUGAGCGCUUUACAAAGUCACAGAAACUUCAGGUUCCAGGUGCUAGUGGGUCAUUUUUGGGUGCUGUAAUGAUGAUACAUCAUUAUAAUGAUUUAGACCAUAGAAUAAUAGCGUAUAAAUGUAUUUCUUCCUCCUCAGUCUCAGUAGUUUGUGCCUGGAUCGAUAUGACGAGGAGAGAGCGACCGCGCAGGAUUACCUAAUCUGAAACCAGAGACGACAAGAGAAAACAAGCCAAAGCGAGCGUGAGAAAAAGAAAAGCACAUGAUAGAGUUGCAGCGCGUCAAUCACGAGCCUCUGGACGAGCCGCUGAGCCCGAGGUUUAACUGCUGCCAACGCCGACGAGUCAAUUACAGGCCGGAGAGGAGAGAGAAUGUCACGGACACACGGACUCUGGAGCAGAUUAACCUGAAAAACAAGCUUUUUCAACUGUUUUCUACUCAGAUUUAUUCUCAUUUAUAUGAUAACAUUCAUGCUGACGUGGAUUAUUUUGUGUAGAGGGAAGAUGUCUUCUUCUUCUUCUUCUUCCUCUUCAUCUUCUGUUACCAGCGUGUUACCAGCCUGGACGAGUGUGUGAUGUGUUCCAGGUGUGUGUGUGUGUGUGUGUGUGUGUUUGAUUGACUGACAGGUGUGUGUGACUCACAGUCAGCAGACUUUUGUGCGCUUGUUUUUAGACAAACUUUAAAAUUGUUUUACUUGUUGCUGGUGAAAGACUCGCGUGUCGCCCAGGAGACGUCUGAACGUCCAUGAGGUGAAGUAAAAGUGGGAUUCAAGUGUUUUAUUUUGUCUGAAAGGUGAUUAUUCAGAUGUGACACAGGUGGUUCAGGGGAAUCUCACUGCUUUAAACAACAGGAGACGAGGGUCAGAAUCUUCAUCUCUGAGGGAGAAAACCAGCAGAUUCCUCUUCGGACUCACAGGACAAAGCACUGACGGAGGACAAAGUCCAGCGUCUUGUUUCUCCGUCUGGAUGAAGAAGAGGAGUGGGGGUUUUGGAGGGAACCGGGUGGCGAAGGUCACUUUGAUGUGACUAUAAAG
Solea senegalensis (Senegalese sole) is the source of this 1032-nucleotide long non-coding RNA. RefSeq lists it as uncharacterized. NCBI's taxonomy places the organism in Eukaryota, Metazoa, Chordata, Actinopteri, Pleuronectiformes, Soleidae. The transcript is spliced from 3 exons. The record is from RefSeq and is a predicted model, not a curated record.